GACGAACGCUGGCGGCGUGCUUAACACAUGCAAGUCGAACGGAAAGGCCCUGCUUUUGUGGGGUGCUCGAGUGGCAAACGGGUGAGUAACACGUGAGUAACCUGCCCUUGACUUUGGGAUAACUUCAGGAAACUGGGGCUAAUACCGGAUAGGAGCUCCUGCUGCAUGGUGGGGGUUGGAAAGUUUCGGCGGUUGGGGAUGGACUCGCGGCUUAUCAGCUUGUUGGUGGGGUAGUGGCUUACCAAGGCUUUGACGGGUAGCCGGCCUGAGAGGGUGACCGGCCACAUUGGGACUGAGAUACGGCCCAGACUCCUACGGGAGGCAGCAGCGGGGAAUAUUGCACAAUGGGCGGAAGCCUGAUGCAGCAACGCCGCGUGCGGGAUGACGGCCUUCGGGUUGUAAACCGCUUUCGCCUGUGACGAAGCGUGAGUGACGGUAAUGGGUAAAGAAGCACCGGCUAACUACGUG
RNAcentral lists this ribosomal RNA (468 nucleotides) under uncultured bacterium. RNAcentral's name for it is "partial 16S ribosomal RNA". It matches the Rfam family "Bacterial small subunit ribosomal RNA", at positions 28 to 507 of the family's 1533-position model. The record is from RNAcentral.